UGGCGAUUAAAGGUUUAUAAUACAUUAAAAUGAAAUGAAGAACUAUUUACAAUUUUAUUUUUUUGAUAAUAAACUUGUACAUGAACAAUUUAUAAACAUAAUUGGCUAUGUAUCAUCAGGUGCACCACAUAAUUAAGUAGUACGUGAUGAUCAUAAAACUCGAUCAAUCCGAUUCUAAAUCGACCGGCUAUCAUUUUCUUACAUGAUAUUAUAUUUGUAAUUAUCUAUAAAUUAGCACUCUAGAUAUCAUUAAUAAAGUAAAAUUAUCUGAAAAUGAAACUGUAUUUACUAUUCAACCUCCCUCCCCAGCUAGCUAGCAAUAGUUGCAGAAGAUUGUGUGAACGUAUAUUUACUAUUUGUAUAGAAGUGAAUUUGGGCCUUUGGGCUAAGAAGCAAAGCCGUGGUGUGAGAUGGGUCAUUGUCGCCGUGGCGGCCGGGGCAAAUUUUCUUACACGAAGGGCAAACCGUAAGACCGGCUACCGGAAGCGGCUUANNNNNNNNNNNNNNNNNNAUUAAAUUGUUCUGCCGUUGUUUUCAUCGAUUUCAACUCUUUCAAUUCCUCUUCCAACAUCUUGUUCUCUUCUGUUAGAGUUUCGUAACAUUUCUUCAGUUCUUCGCAGUCCACUUCCGUUUGUUUCAAUUUUGUCCUGCAUAUUCAUAACAAUUCCGUUAUUAGGUGACAUAACAAACAAUCGAGAAGAAAG
This 704-nucleotide long non-coding RNA is filed under the name Trifolium pratense (red clover). Its description in RNAcentral is "long non-coding RNA (TPRA_LNC003958)". Lineage: Eukaryota; Viridiplantae; Streptophyta; Magnoliopsida; Fabales; Fabaceae. The record is from RNAcentral.